UCCCAGACUCCUACGGGAGGCAGCAGUGGGGGAUAUUGGACAAUGGGGGGAACCCUGAUCCAGCGACGCCGCGUGAGUGAAGAAGUAUUUCGGUAUGUAAAGCUCUAUCAGCAGGGAAGAAAGGAAUGACGGUACCUGACUAAGAAGCCCCGGCUAACUACGUGCCAGCAGCCGCGGUAAUACGUAGGGGGCAAGCGUUAUCCGGAUUUACUGGGUGUAAAGGGAGCGUAGACGGUUACGCAAGUCUGGAGUGAAAGGCGGGGGCCCAACCCCGGAACUGCUUUGGAAACUGUGCAGCUCGAGUGCAGGAGAGGUAAGCGGAAUUCCUAGUGUAGCGGUGAAAUGCGUAGAUAUUAGGGGGAACACCAGUGGCGAAGGCGGCUUACUGGACUGUAACUGACGUUGAGGCUCGAAAGCGUGGGGAGCAAACAGGAUUAGAUACCCCCGUAU
This 450-nucleotide ribosomal RNA is filed under the name uncultured bacterium. Its description in RNAcentral is "bacterial SSU rRNA". It matches the Rfam family "Bacterial small subunit ribosomal RNA", at positions 329 to 793 of the family's 1533-position model. The record is from RNAcentral.